CUGUACAAAACAUCAUGCUCAAUAGUACAAGAAACUGACCAACACAUUAUACUGAACUUGAGGUUACAGGAAAUAAAAAACAACAACAAUACAUUAAGAAAACAACCACAAUCUCCUCUAUAAUGUUGUGGUGGUGGUGGUGGCCAGUACCCUCAACACUACACAGUCCACCACAAUUUCCUCUAUAAUGUUGUGGUGGUGGUGGUGGUGGUGGUGCAGGCCAGUACCCUCAACACCACAAAGUCCACCACAAUUUCCUCUAUAAUGUUGUGGUGGUGGUGGUGGUGGUGGUGCAGGCCAGUACCCUCAACACCACACAGUCCACCACAAUUUCCUCUAUAAUGUUGUGGUGGUGGUGGUGGUGGUGCAGGCCAGUACCCUCAACACCACACAGUCCACCACAAUUUCCUCUAUAAUGUUGUGGUGGUGGUGGUGGUGGUGGUGGUGCAGGCCAGUACCCUCAACACCACAAAGUCCACCACAAUUUCCUCUAUAAUGUUGUGGUGGUGGUGGUGGUGGUGGCCAGUACCCUCAACACCACAAAGUCCACCACAAUCUCCUCUAUAAUGUUGUGGUGGUGGUGGUGGUGGUGGUGGUGCAGGCCAGUACCCUCAACACCACAAAGUCCACCACAAUCUCCUCUAUAAUGUUG
This is a long non-coding RNA of Eriocheir sinensis (Chinese mitten crab), 652 nucleotides long. RefSeq lists it as uncharacterized. NCBI's taxonomy places the organism in Eukaryota, Metazoa, Arthropoda, Malacostraca, Decapoda, Varunidae. The transcript has 3 exons. The record is from RefSeq and is a predicted model, not a curated record.